RNAcentral lists this long non-coding RNA (256 nucleotides) under Ananas comosus (pineapple). RNAcentral describes it as "long non-coding RNA (ACOM_LNC042223)". Lineage: Eukaryota; Viridiplantae; Streptophyta; Magnoliopsida; Poales; Bromeliaceae. The record is from RNAcentral.
GUAUCGGACUCCGUUCAUAGCGAUCCAAUAGCUCGUUUCGACCGGUUCAGCUAUUCUGGAACUACUGGCGCUGACGGAUUUUGAGUUUGAUGCACGAAUUUCGAGAAAAUCCGAAAAUACGUGUUUUAUAUGUAUUUAUGUGUUAUUCCUUCUAUUGGAAAGAAAGUUUGGAUUUUGUCGUGAAUCCGUGGUCGAUCGUGGUGAAACAAAAUCGUAGCUUUGUUGUCUCCGAGGUGCUGAUCGCACUGGUGCAAUC